GCAUGCUUUUACUUUCACUCUCUUUGUAAUAAAAAACGAUUUCCCGGUCGGAAUAUUAUCGCUUUUUUACGAGAAAAAUGGCAUAAAAAUUGAUUUUAAUCAGCAGUUGACAUGCUUCGAAGUACGGUAAUGGAAUAUUUAGAAUUUUUUUGUCACGAAAUGCGCCAUGCUCGUGACCCUUAUUUACCCUUUCGGAUAGUGUCUUGAACGCACGAACAAAACGCCGCUAUUUGGAUAUAACUCUGGAUUAUUUGGGACCAACAUUUGUUAUUGAAGUAGAAGUCCUGGGAGUGCAUUCUGAUGAAGAACAGCAAAGGAUGUAGCUUAGAAGAUCCAGGAUAUGUUACUGCUGUUCACUCUACCGGGAGUGCUGUUAUCAAGCUCACUCAAUGAAGCUAACUCUCAAGACGGAUGUAGCUUAGAAGAUCCAGGAUAUGUUACUGCUGUUCACUCUACCGG
RNAcentral lists this long non-coding RNA (459 nucleotides) under Salmo salar (Atlantic salmon). Its description in RNAcentral is "lncRNA (ENSSSAG00000103617.1)". Lineage: Eukaryota; Metazoa; Chordata; Actinopteri; Salmoniformes; Salmonidae. The record is from RNAcentral.